GAUGAACGCUGGCGGCGUGCCUAAUACAUGCAAGUCGAGCGAACGGACGAGAAGCUUGCUUCUCUGAUGUUAGCGGCGGACGGGUGAGUAACACGUGGAUGACCUACCUAUAAGACUGGGAUAACUUCGGGAAACCGGAGCUAAUACCGGAUGAUAUUUUGAACCGCAUGGUUCAAAAGUGAAAGACGGUCUUGCUGUCACUUAUAGAUGGAUCCGCGCUGCAUUAGCUAGUUGGUAAGGUAACGGCUUACCAAGGCAACGAUGAAUAGCCGACCUGAGAGGGUGAUCGGCCACACUGGAACUGAGACACGGUCCAGACUCCUACGGGAGGCAGCAGUAGGGAAUCUUCCGCAAUGGGCGAAAGCCUGACGGAGCAACGCCGCGUGAGUGAUGAAGGUCUUCGGAUCGUAAAACUCUGUUAUUAGGGAAGAACAUAUGUGUAAGUAACUGUGCACAUCUUGACGGUACCUAAUCAGAAAGCCACGGCUAACUACGUG
Molecule: ribosomal RNA, 497 nt
Filed under: uncultured bacterium
Lineage: Bacteria
Description: partial 16S ribosomal RNA
Rfam family: Bacterial small subunit ribosomal RNA
Source: RNAcentral